RNAcentral lists this ribosomal RNA (550 nucleotides) under uncultured bacterium. RNAcentral describes it as "bacterial SSU rRNA". It matches the Rfam family "Bacterial small subunit ribosomal RNA", at positions 355 to 896 of the family's 1533-position model. The record is from RNAcentral.
UAGGGAAUCUUCGGCAAUGGACGGAAGUCUGACCGAGCAACGCCGCGUGAGUGAAGAAGGUUUUCGGAUCGUAAAGCUCUGUUGUAAGAGAAGAACGAGUGUGAGAGUGGAAAGUUCACACUGUGACGGUAUCUUACCAGAAAGGGACGGCUAACUACGUGCCAGCAGCCGCGGUAAUACGUAGGUCCCGAGCGUUGUCCGGAUUUAUUGGGCGUAAAGCGAGCGCAGGCGGUUAGAUAAGUCUGAAGUUAAAGGCUGUGGCUUAACCAUAGUACGCUUUGGAAACUGUUUAACUUGAGUGCAAGAGGGGAGAGUGGAAUUCCAUGUGUAGCGGUGAAAUGCGUAGAUAUAUGGAGGAACACCGGUGGCGAAAGCGGCUCUCUGGCUUGUAACUGACGCUGAGGCUCGAAAGCGUGGGGAGCAAACAGGAUUAGAUACCCUGGUAGUCCACGCCGUAAACGAUGAGUGCUAGGUGUUAGACCCUUUCCGGGGUUUAGUGCCGCAGCUAACGCAUUAAGCACUCCGCCUGGGGAGUACGACCGCAAGGUUG